Molecule: ribosomal RNA, 2650 nt
Filed under: Bacillus cereus
Lineage: Bacteria; Bacillati; Bacillota; Bacilli; Caryophanales; Bacillaceae
Description: bacterial LSU rRNA
Rfam family: Bacterial large subunit ribosomal RNA
Source: RNAcentral
UUAAGUUAGAAAGGGCGCACGGUGGAUGCCUUGACACUAGGAGUCGAUGAAGGACGGGACUAACGCCGAUAUGCUUCGGGGAGCUGUAAGUAAGCUUUGAUCCGAAGAUUUCCGAAUGGGGAAACCCACCAUACGUAAUGGUAUGGUAUCCUUAUCUGAAUACAUAGGGUAAGGAAGACAGACCCAGGGAACUGAAACAUCUAAGUACCUGGAGGAAGAGAAAGCAAAUGCGAUUUCCUGAGUAGCGGCGAGCGAAACGGAACAUAGCCCAAACCAAGAGGCUUGCCUCUUGGGGUUGUAGGACAUUCUAUACGGAGUUACAAAGGAACGAGGUAGACGAAGCGACCUGGAAAGGUCCGUCGUAGAGGGUAACAACCCCGUAGUCGAAACUUCGUUCUCUCUUGAAUGUAUCCUGAGUACGGCGGAACACGUGAAAUUCCGUCGGAAUCUGGGAGGACCAUCUCCCAAGGCUAAAUACUCCCUAGUGAUCGAUAGUGAACCAGUACCGUGAGGGAAAGGUGAAAAGCACCCCGGAAGGGGAGUGAAAGAGAUCCUGAAACCGUGUGCCUACAAAUAGUCAGAGCCCGUUAACGGGUGAUGGCGUGCCUUUUGUAGAAUGAACCGGCGAGUUACGAUCCCGUGCGAGGUUAAGCUGAAGAGGCGGAGCCGCAGCGAAAGCGAGUCUGAAUAGGGCGUUUAGUACGUGGUCGUAGACCCGAAACCAGGUGAUCUACCCAUGUCCAGGGUGAAGUUCAGGUAACACUGAAUGGAGGCCCGAACCCACGCACGUUGAAAAGUGCGGGGAUGAGGUGUGGGUAGCGGAGAAAUUCCAAUCGAACCUGGAGAUAGCUGGUUCUCCCCGAAAUAGCUUUAGGGCUAGCCUUAAGUGUAAGAGUCUUGGAGGUAGAGCACUGAUUGGACUAGGGGUCCUCAUCGGAUUACCGAAUUCAGUCAAACUCCGAAUGCCAAUGACUUAUCCUUAGGAGUCAGACUGCGAGUGAUAAGAUCCGUAGUCAAAAGGGAAACAGCCCAGACCGCCAGCUAAGGUCCCAAAGUGUGUAUUAAGUGGAAAAGGAUGUGGAGUUGCUUAGACAACUAGGAUGUUGGCUUAGAAGCAGCCACCAUUUAAAGAGUGCGUAAUAGCUCACUAGUCGAGUGACUCUGCGCCGAAAAUGUACCGGGGCUAAAUACACCACCGAAGCUGCGGAUUGAUACCAAUGGUAUCAGUGGUAGGGGAGCGUUCUAAGGACAGUGAAGUCAGACCGNNNNNNNNNNNNNNNNNNNNNNNNNGCUGAGCUGUGAUGGGGAAGCUCCUUAUGGAGCGAAGUCUUUGAUUCCCCGCUGCCAAGAAAAGCUUCUAGCGAGAUAAAAGGUGCCUGUACCGCAAACCGACACAGGUAGGCGAGGAGAGAAUCCUAAGGUGUGCGAGAGAACUCUGGUUAAGGAACUCGGCAAAAUGACCCCGUAACUUCGGGAGAAGGGGUGCUUUCUUAACGGAAAGCCGCAGUGAAUAGGCCCAAGCGACUGUUUAGCAAAAACACAGCUCUCUGCGAAGCCGUAAGGCGAAGUAUAGGGGGUGACACCUGCCCGGUGCUGGAAGGUUAAGGAGAGGGGUUAGCGUAAGCGAAGCUCUGAACUGAAGCCCCAGUAAACGGCGGCCGUAACUAUAACGGUCCUAAGGUAGCGAAAUUCCUUGUCGGGUAAGUUCCGACCCGCACGAAAGGUGUAACGAUUUGGGCACUGUCUCAACCAGAGACUCGGUGAAAUUAUAGUACCUGUGAAGAUGCAGGUUACCCGCGACAGGACGGAAAGACCCCGUGGAGCUUUACUGUAGCCUGAUAUUGAAUUUUGGUACAGUUUGUACAGGAUAGGCGGGAGCCAUUGAAACCGGAGCGCUAGCUUCGGUGGAGGCGCUGGUGGGAUACCGCCCUGACUGUAUUGAAAUUCUAACCUACGGGUCUUAUCGACCCGGGAGACAGUGUCAGGUGGGCAGUUUGACUGGGGCGGUCGCCUCCUAAAGUGUAACGGAGGCGCCCAAAGGUUCCCUCAGAAUGGUUGGAAAUCAUUCGUAGAGUGCAAAGGCAUAAGGGAGCUUGACUGCGAGACCUACAAGUCGAGCAGGGACGAAAGUCGGGCUUAGUGAUCCGGUGGUUCCGCAUGGAAGGGCCAUCGCUCAACGGAUAAAAGCUACCCCGGGGAUAACAGGCUUAUCUCCCCCAAGAGUCCACAUCGACGGGGAGGUUUGGCACCUCGAUGUCGGCUCAUCGCAUCCUGGGGCUGUAGUCGGUCCCAAGGGUUGGGCUGUUCGCCCAUUAAAGCGGUACGCGAGCUGGGUUCAGAACGUCGUGAGACAGUUCGGUCCCUAUCCGUCGUGGGCGUAGGAAAUUUGAGAGGAGCUGUCCUUAGUACGAGAGGACCGGGAUGGACGCACCGCUGGUGUACCAGUUGUUCUGCCAAGGGCAUAGCUGGGUAGCUAUGUGCGGAAGGGAUAAGUGCUGAAAGCAUCUAAGCAUGAAGCCCCCCUCAAGAUGAGAUUUCCCAUAGCGUAAGCUAGUAAGAUCCCUGAAAGAUGAUCAGGUUGAUAGGUUCGAGGUGGAAGCAUGGUGACAUGUGGAGCUGACGAAUACUAAUAGAUCGAGGACUUAACCAU